GUUUCCGUAGGUGAACCUGCGGAAGGAUCAUUAACGGAUUGUUUGUUUUGAUUUUCAAUUUAUCAUUGUUUAUCAUACACGAGCAUCAAUAUCCGAACCUUUCAAAAAAAUCGAACGAUAGUUGCCCGUUAUCAAAAAUGGGUUGACUGGCGAGCGAUCGAUUAUGAAUCGAGUGUUGUGGAUGCAUCGAAAGCUUAAUGUUGCAAUUGUGCAUACCGUGUUGAAGCAGGUUAAAUGAACGUUUAUAUGAUCUGGGAAUACUUUGGGCAACCAAAUACGAAGUAUCCAAUAUUUUAAAGGAUCCAAACGUUGCUGCUCGGCCAAUCAUGCAAAUGUGUAAUAUUGAUUUGUUUAUUCAAGUCGGCUGGCAUUUCACUUACCUUGAUUAAUAAUUGUGUCGCUUGUUGGCAACUCUGCUCAUAUCUUGUUCUGGUGUCUAGUCCGCUAUUCCUAACAAAUUAAAAACUUGUAUGGAUGCGGUGUGUCAGUCUAUUGUUGACUGUUGCUAGGCUUAAAUAUCGUUAGCUUAACUGUUGACGAAGCCGCAAGUAUGGGGAAACCUUUUCUUUACUUAAACCAAACUUUAAGCUAAUACCAUUAACAUUUAUGGAAUUGUAUUACCUAUUGGAUGCACAUUCGUGUGCUGAUAAUAGAGAUACAAAAGAGAUAAAUACUACUGCCAGUGGUGGAUCACUCGGCUCGCUGGUCGAGGAAGAACGCAGCUAGCUGCGUUAACCGGUGUGAAAUGCAGGACACGCCGAGCACUCGACAUUCGAACGCACAUUGCAGUCAUGGGCCAUCCUAUGACUUCGUUUGUCUGAGCGUCGUUAAUUAAUAAUCAAACAUCAAAAGACCUGUUUGUCGUAUUCCUCGAUUACUUGAGAAUUCGUCAGGUUCAAUUGAUACACUGAUUGUCAAUAUUAUGUACGCCCAAAAAUGCGUAUUGAAGCUGUUUCGCAUAUUGCAACAAUUAAUUUUGUUCAAUGUUGUGAUCGGGUUCUGUGCACGCGUUUAAUUACGCAGGGCUUUUGGCACAUCAUGUCAAUUGCUUGAAAUUGCACUAGAAUAUUCCAAACUGAUCAUACAACUGAUGACAAUAUGUGCUUCUGAUACGAUACUUUGGUGAAACAUAGCUAAAACAAUCCAAGUGUGUAUGGGCUAAUUUUUUAGCGCAUAUGUUUUUUUUGUAAACUUUCGACCUCAGAUCAAGCGAGAUUA
This 1218-nucleotide ribosomal RNA is filed under the name Glycyphagus domesticus. Its description in RNAcentral is "eukaryotic LSU rRNA". The stretch from base 675 to 827 matches the Rfam family "5.8S ribosomal RNA". Lineage: Eukaryota; Metazoa; Arthropoda; Arachnida; Sarcoptiformes; Glycyphagidae. The record is from RNAcentral.